UGGGGAAUAUUGGACAAUGGGGGCAACCCUGAUCCAGCGACGCCGCGUGUGUGAAGAAGGCCUGCGGGUUGUAAAGCACUUUUAGUGGGGACAAAAAGCUACGGGCUAAUACCCUGUGGUCUUGAUUUAACCCAAAGAAAAAGCACCGGCUAACUCUGUGCCAGCAGCCGCGGUAAUACAGAGGGUGCGAGCGUUAAUCGGAAUUACUGGGCGUAAAGCGUGCGUAGACGGUUUCGUAAGUCGGGUGUGAAAUCCCCGGGCUCAACCUGGGAAUUGCAUUCGAAACUGCGAGGCUAGGGUACGGAAGAGGGAAGCGGAAUUUCUGGUGUAGCGGUGAAAUGCGUAGAUAUCAGAAGGAACAUCAGUGGCGAAAGCGGCUUCCUGGUCCAGUACCGACGUUCAGGCACGAAAGCGUGGGGAGCAAACAG
RNAcentral lists this ribosomal RNA (428 nucleotides) under uncultured bacterium. Its description in RNAcentral is "bacterial SSU rRNA". It matches the Rfam family "Bacterial small subunit ribosomal RNA", at positions 355 to 775 of the family's 1533-position model. The record is from RNAcentral.